RNAcentral lists this ribosomal RNA (2930 nucleotides) under Escherichia coli. RNAcentral's name for it is "23S ribosomal RNA". It matches the Rfam family "Bacterial large subunit ribosomal RNA". The record is from RNAcentral. Lineage: Bacteria; Pseudomonadati; Pseudomonadota; Gammaproteobacteria; Enterobacterales; Enterobacteriaceae.
GGGUUGUGAGGUUAAGCGACUAAGCGUACACGGUGGAUGCCCUGGCAGUCAGAGGCGAUGAAGGACGUGCUAAUCUGCGAUAAGCGUCGGUAAGGUGAUAUGAACCGUUAUAACCGGCGAUUUCCGAAUGGGGAAACCCAGUGUGAUUCGUCACACUAUCAUUAACUGAAUCCAUAGGUUAAUGAGGCGAACCGGGGGAACUGAAACAUCUAAGUACCCCGAGGAAAAGAAAUCAACCGAGAUUCCCCCAGUAGCGGCGAGCGAACGGGGAGCAGCCCAGAGCCUGAAUCAGUGUGUGUGUUAGUGGAAGCGUCUGGAAAGGCGCGCGAUACAGGGUGACAGCCCCGUACACAAAAAUGCACAUGCUGUGAGCUCGAUGAGUAGGGCGGGACACGUGGUAUCCUGUCUGAAUAUGGGGGGACCAUCCUCCAAGGCUAAAUACUCCUGACUGACCGAUAGUGAACCAGUACCGUGAGGGAAAGGCGAAAAGAACCCCGGCGAGGGGAGUGAAAAAGAACCUGAAACCGUGUACGUACAAGCAGUGGGAGCACGCUUAGGCGUGUGACUGCGUACCUUUUGUAUAAUGGGUCAGCGACUUAUAUUCUGUAGCAAGGUUAACCGAAUAGGGGAGCCGAAGGGAAACCGAGUCUUAACUGGGCGUUAAGUUGCAGGGUAUAGACCCGAAACCCGGUGAUCUAGCCAUGGGCAGGUUGAAGGUUGGGUAACACUAACUGGAGGACCGAACCGACUAAUGUUGAAAAAUUAGCGGAUGACUUGUGGCUGGGGGUGAAAGGCCAAUCAAACCGGGAGAUAGCUGGUUCUCCCCGAAAGCUAUUUAGGUAGCGCCUCGUGAAUUCAUCUCCGGGGGUAGAGCACUGUUUCGGCAAGGGGGUCAUCCCGACUUACCAACCCGAUGCAAACUACGAAUACCGGAGAAUGUUAUCACGGGAGACACACGGCGGGUGCUAACGUCCGUCGUGAAGAGGGAAACAACCCAGACCGCCAGCUAAGGUCCCAAAGUCAUGGUUAAGUGGGAAACGAUGUGGGAAGGCCCAGACAGCCAGGAUGUUGGCUUAGAAGCAGCCAUCAUUUAAAGAAAGCGUAAUAGCUCACUGGUCGAGUCGGCCUGCGCGGAAGAUGUAACGGGGCUAAACCAUGCACCGAAGCUGCGGCAGCGACGCUGAUGCGUUGUUGGGUAGGGGAGCGUUCUGUAAGCCUGCGAAGGUGUGCUGUGAGGCAUGCUGGAGGUAUCAGAAGUGCGAAUGCUGACAUAAGUAACGAUAAAGCGGGUGAAAAGCCCGCUCGCCGGAAGACCAAGGGUUCCUGUCCAACGUUAAUCGGGGCAGGGUGAGUCGACCCCUAAGGCGAGGCCGAAAGGCGUAGUCGAUGGGAAACAGGUUAAUAUUCCUGUACUUGGUGUUACUGCGAAGGGGGGACGGAGAAGGCUAUGUUGGCCGGGCGACGGUUGUCCCGGUUUAAGCGUGUAGGCUGGUUUUCCAGGCAAAUCCGGAAAAUCAAGGCUGAGGCGUGAUGACGAGGCACUACGGUGCUGAAGCAACAAAUGCCCUGCUUCCAGGAAAAGCCUCUAAGCAUCAGGUAACAUCAAAUCGUACCCCAAACCGACACAGGUGGUCAGGUAGAGAAUACCAAGGCGCUUGAGAGAACUCGGGUGAAGGAACUAGGCAAAAUGGUGCCGUAACUUCGGGAGAAGGCACGCUGAUAUGUAGGUGAAGUCCCUCGCGGAUGGAGCUGAAAUCAGUCGAAGAUACCAGCUGGCUGCAACUGUUUAUUAAAAACACAGCACUGUGCAAACACGAAAGUGGACGUAUACGGUGUGACGCCUGCCCGGUGCCGGAAGGUUAAUUGAUGGGGUUAGCGCAAGCGAAGCUCUUGAUCGAAGCCCCGGUAAACGGCGGCCGUAACUAUAACGGUCCUAAGGUAGCGAAAUUCCUUGUCGGGUAAGUUCCGACCUGCACGAAUGGCGUAAUGAUGGCCAGGCUGUCUCCACCCGAGACUCAGUGAAAUUGAACUCGCUGUGAAGAUGCAGUGUACCCGCGGCAAGACGGAAAGACCCCGUGAACCUUUACUAUAGCUUGACACUGAACAUUGAGCCUUGAUGUGUAGGAUAGGUGGGAGGCUUUGAAGUGUGGACGCCAGUCUGCAUGGAGCCGACCUUGAAAUACCACCCUUUAAUGUUUGAUGUUCUAACGUGGACCCGUAAUCCGGGUUGCGGACAGUGUCUGGUGGGUAGUUUGACUGGGGCGGUCUCCUCCUAAAGAGUAACGGAGGAGCACGAAGGUUGGCUAAUCCUGGUCGGACAUCAGGAGGUUAGUGCAAUGGCAUAAGCCAGCUUGACUGCGAGCGUGACGGCGCGAGCAGGUGCGAAAGCAGGUCAUAGUGAUCCGGUGGUUCUGAAUGGAAGGGCCAUCGCUCAACGGAUAAAAGGUACUCCGGGGAUAACAGGCUGAUACCGCCCAAGAGUUCAUAUCGACGGCGGUGUUUGGCACCUCGAUGUCGGCUCAUCACAUCCUGGGGCUGAAGUAGGUCCCAAGGGUAUGGCUGUUCGCCAUUUAAAGUGGUACGCGAGCUGGGUUUAGAACGUCGUGAGACAGUUCGGUCCCUAUCUGCCGUGGGCGCUGGAGAACUGAGGGGGGCUGCUCCUAGUACGAGAGGACCGGAGUGGACGCAUCACUGGUGUUCGGGUUGUCAUGCCAAUGGCACUGCCCGGUAGCUAAAUGCGGAAGAGAUAAGUGCUGAAAGCAUCUAAGCACGAAACUUGCCCCGAGAUGAGUUCUCCCUGACCCUUUAAGGGUCCUGAAGGAACGUUGAAGACGACGACGUUGAUAGGCCGGGUGUGUAAGCGCAGCGAUGCGUUGAGCUAACCGGUACUAAUGAACCGUGAGGCUUAACCUUACAACGCCGAAGCUGUU